CCUACGGGUGGCUGCAGUAGGGAAUAUUGCUCAAUGGGGGAAACCCUGAAGCAGCAACGCCGCGUGGAGGAUGAAGGUUUUCGGAUUGUAAACUCCUUUUGGUAGAGAAGAUAAUGACGGUAUCUGACGAAUAAGCACCGGCUAACUCCGUGCCAGCAGCCGCGGUAAUACGGAGGGUGCAAGCGUUACUCGGAAUCACUGGGCGUAAAGAGCGCGUAGGCGGGAGAGCAAGUCAGAUGUGAAAUCCUAGGGCUUAACCACAGAACUGCAUUUGAAACUGUUAUGCUAGAGUAUGGGAGAGGUAGGUGGAAUUCUUGGUGUAGGGGUAAAAUCCGUAGAGAUCAAGAGGAAUACUCAUUGCGAAGGCGACCUGCUAGAACAUAACUGACGCUGAUGCUCGAAAGCGCGGGUAGCGAACAGGAUUAGAUACCCCAGUAGUC
RNAcentral lists this ribosomal RNA (440 nucleotides) under uncultured bacterium. RNAcentral's name for it is "partial 16S ribosomal RNA". It matches the Rfam family "Bacterial small subunit ribosomal RNA", at positions 338 to 795 of the family's 1533-position model. The record is from RNAcentral.